UGCGCAGGCGGUUUUGUAAGACAGUGGUGAAAUCCCCGGGCUCAACCUGGGAACUGCCAUUGUGACUGCAAGGCUAGAGUGCGGCAGAGGGGGAUGGAAUUCCGCGUGUAGCAGUGAAAUGCGUAGAUAUGCGGAGGAACACCGAUGGCGAAGGCAAUCCCCUGGGCCUGCACUGACGCUCAUGCACGAAAGCGUGGGGAGCAAACAG
This 208-nucleotide ribosomal RNA is filed under the name uncultured bacterium. RNAcentral's name for it is "partial 16S ribosomal RNA". It matches the Rfam family "Bacterial small subunit ribosomal RNA", at positions 568 to 775 of the family's 1533-position model. The record is from RNAcentral.